CUCACAGCAACCAGAUCCUUAACCCACUGACUGAGGCCAGGAAUCGAACCCGCCACCUCAUGGUUCCUAGUCGGAUUCGUUUCCACUGCACCACGACAGGAACUCCUCUUUGGUGGAUUUAAAUGACUUCCAGAGAGCAUCUCCGUCUGAGCCAGCACGGCUGACCCUCGUCAGUCCACCCUGUCCCCCUGUCCCCCACGAAGUGAUCGGCUGUGUCGACCCCAAACACCAUCCCCCCUCAACACUGCUCCAUCAUAAGAGUACUGGACAGAGGUGCUGCAUCAUUUAGCCCUGCAGGUGGGACUUUUUUUCCCUUUCUUGGCCACUCUGCUGCAUGUGGAGUUCCCGAGCCAGGGAUCAUAUCUGAGCCACAGUAUAGACGGAAGUCGCAGCUGUGGCAAUGCUAGAUUCUUAACCCACUGUGCCAGAUCGGGGAUUGAACCUGUGUCCCAGCGCUUCCAAGAUGCCCGCCGAUCCCGUGUUGCCACAUCAGGAACUCUCAAGGUGGGACCUGCCCACAAGUUACCUGGAAGGCAGGACUUUCCCCCUCACUUUAUAGUUGAGCCAACACGACCUUACCCAGCAGCCACUUCCUGGUGGUUUAAACCAGUGGUUCUCAUGAAAUAUGAAAAAUCAGUAGAUACAUAAGUAAAUGAAUAAAAUUGGAGUUCCCUGGUGGCUCAGUGUGUUAAGGAUCUGGUGUUGUCACUGCUGCAGGCGCAGGCUUGAUCCUGGCUUGGGAACUUCCAUGUGCUGCAGGCAUGGGCCCCAAAAUAAAUUUAAAAAAAUGCCCUAGUUGUCAGGUGGGGGUCAUUCUGCCCCCAGGGGACAUGGGCAGUGUCACGACCAGGGUGGGGGUGCUGGUGGCCUCUCUGGUUGGGGACCAGGAAUGCUGGUUAACAUCCCACGAUGCUCCGGACAGCCGCACACGGGUUGGGAACAGUGCUGGGUGGAGACACCUGUGGGUCUUUCCUCGGGUGUCUUAGAACCAAGAGAAGGUGACAAGCCGCAGAGGUGGAAGAGCCCCCAGGGCCCCCAACUGCCUGAGUCUGCCAGUGGCCCUUGAAGGCCCGCCUGGACCCCACCUCGGUGCAGUGCAGGGGGCUCCCAGCCCAGUCUCCUGAGGGCAGGGAUCUGCAUGGCCCACCCAGGCUGGGCAUGUGUGGCCAGGCCGGCCGGCUACAGGCAGGUGUGGUGCUCACAGGGAGCAGGUGGCGAGGGGGGUCCCGGGGAGCAGGGGCUGUCCCUGGCAGACCCCCGUCUCUGCAGGUGGGGGGGGCGAGAAAAUCGGGGACACUUUGGUGAGAGCUCGAAGGAAGUGCAGUUGCUCCCCUGUAAUUUGAGCCCUGAGGACCUAGGGACACAGAAGAAGCUUUACCUGGCCACCUGGGAGCUGGUGGCAGGUGGGGACCAGGCCCCGGCCUGUCCUCAGGAGCCUGUGGACGCUGUGGGAGGGGGCGGGCCCUGUGUUGAUGGAGACCCAGGUUGGGGGGUGCACAGCCUGGAUUUGGAGGAGUGGUCCCCUGGGUGCGUGUAAAGGCUGGCCAGGAAUCAGAGAGGAGGGCCCUGGAGGAGACCCCAGCUCGUCCUGCUGGGGACGUGCCGGAGGCUCAGCGUGGCCGGCUGUGGUGUGGCCAGUGGGCCGUGGUCAGCCGCAGGGCCAGGUAGAGCAGUCCUUGGGCCCUCCUGGCUCGUGGGAGCAGCAGGUGCUGGUGACCCAUCUCAGCGACUUUACGGAGUCUGGUGUGGAAUGGACCGGAGUGGGGUGGGCCGUGAGAAAGCGGCUGGCAUGUAGGUGCAGGCAGGGUGGGCUUCCUGGAGGCAGUACCCUGGCCGGGGAAGCCGCACGAUUCUUGAAAUGGAGAGGAGGUCAGAGGAGGCCUGGGAGGUGCAGCUGCAGGGCCUGAGACCGAGGUUGCCACCCAGAGGCUACUCUGAGCUGGAAGGAUCUUUGCAUAGAAACAGCUUAGAGGAGGCCUGGUUUUCUAGGGCCCCUGCCCUGCUGCCUGCUGCCGGGGGGGUGCUGGUGCACCUGGGGAGGCCUAGAGGCUGCUCAGGGCGCUUGCAUAGAGAACUGAUUGGGGCGCGUAGUGACCUUGAAGUGAUUUCCGCAUCCUCUUUUAAGCGGAUCUCAACCUCCCCCUUCCCUUCGAAAAUAAUGCUGAAGGUCCUGCUGUGUCCACUGGGAACUCUAUCUAGGCACUUAGGAUGGAGCAUGAUGACGUGAGAACGAAGAACGUACACGCGUCUGUGUGCCUGGGUCCGCUUGCUCACAGUAGAAAACGACAGAACGCCGUAAGCCAGCUCUGAUGGAAAAAAUGAAAAUCAUCAUUAAAAAGAUAAAAUUAUCCUGGACUAGUACCCCUCUUUGCGGAAGAGCGCUCUCUGUGGUCCUCCUGGCAUCGUGGGUAUUCCUGAGUGGUCCCGAGGAGUCCCGUCGCCGUGGCAACCCCGCGCUCAUCAGAGGAGCUCUGCGUUGAAUUCCCAUCUCCCUUUGGUGGGAUUAAUAUUUAUCGCACAUCCCGAAGUUGCUUACCUUCGUGCUCCCUGUCCAGUCGUCAGAAUAAUUAAGGGACCCUUAGACGGUGGAAGGGACGAAGCGCCUGCUCUGAGCGGGUUUUAAGCGCUCUGAUUGAUUUCCCCCCCCCUGCUGUGGUUGGCAGAGGGCAGGACCUUGACCCGGCUAUUUUCUUGUUUUCAAACAUGUGGUCCCAUCACAGGAGAGACGUACCCUCAGAAAGCCCGUUUCCUCGUUGCAUCAGUCGCACACUUGACCUUUUCAGAUGAAAAAUGGCUUUACUUCCUCGCGAGUGUAUUUAUUAUUUAUAUUAUGUAGAAGCUGAAAAACCUAUCAGUAAAUUUAGGGGUCCCUUAUUAACCCACGUUGGCCCCCUGUUGUUAAUCUGCUCAUCUAUACUAAUUGUGUGGGGGUGAGAGGAUGUAAACACGGACUACAAUCAUUCUGGAA
This is a non-coding RNA of Sus scrofa (pig), 2968 nucleotides long. NCBI's taxonomy places the organism in Eukaryota, Metazoa, Chordata, Mammalia, Artiodactyla, Suidae. The record is from RefSeq and is a predicted model, not a curated record.